AAAAAAACCCUCAUCUUACUGAAGAUUGAAUGAGCUAAUCCAGGGCUCCUCCUCUGGAUACCCAAGAAAUAUAAACGCUGAAAUGCAGAUGCAUCAUCAUGCCACCCUCAUCUGUUUGGCUCAGCCUUGUGGCCAUGGUCACAGUCUCAAUCAAGUCCCUGUUGGCACCUCGGCUGACACCUUCUCCAGAGGAAGGAAGGAGUGAAAGGGGGCUGAUUUCUAGUUUGCUCUGUAUCACUUGACCUGGUUCUGCUGAAGCAGAAUUUUGGAACUUAACCUAGUUCCAAAGGCAUCCUAAAAUUUGAGUGAUUCUUUGGAG
Heterocephalus glaber (naked mole-rat) is the source of this 319-nucleotide non-coding RNA. Lineage: Eukaryota; Metazoa; Chordata; Mammalia; Rodentia; Bathyergidae. The record is from RefSeq and is a predicted model, not a curated record.